AGGCCGUUCCUGAACAGAAGGAUCCAGAUCCUGAGUUUCCAACAGUGAAAUACCAGAAUCCCAAAGAGGGUAAGUUGUUUUGACUAUCUUUUGCUUUGGCUGACAAAACCAAGGCCAGAAUUGUUUUAGCAAAUCACCAGGAUGCUGAUAGGCUUGCUGUGGCAAAAAAGCAAGACAGUGGUGAAUGGAGAGUGUUUUGGGGCAAUAAGUUGGGGGCCCUCCUGGGCUGGUGGAUUUUUACACCUUGGAACGAGAAGAACCGGGAUUGCAGUGGUUUCAAAGACCCUUACAUGUUGUCUAGCAACAUCUUCUCCAAAAUCUUGCGGGCUAUUGCCCUAAAGGAGGGUUUUCAUUUUGAGGAAACAUUAACUGGCUUUAAGUGGAUGGGAAACAGAGCCAAACAGCUAAUAGGCCAGGGGAAAACUAUCUUAUUUGCAUUUGAAGAAGCUAUUGGAUACAUGUGCUGCCCUUUUAUUCUGGACAAAGAUGGACUCAGUGCCGCUGUCAUUAAGUGCAGAGUUGGCUAGCUUUCCAGCAACCAAAAAUUUGUCUCAGCAACUAAAGGCCAUUUAUGUGGAGUAUAGCCACCAUAUUACGAAAGCUUCCUAUCUGCCAUGAUCAAGACACCAUUAAGAAAUUAUUUGAGUACCGAAACUCCGUCUCAAAAAAAAAAAAAAAAAAAGCUUGCAGCAAAUUUGAAAUUUCUGCCAUUAGGGACCUUACAACUAGCUAUAAUGAUAGCUAGCCUGAUAAAAAAGAUGUUCUUCCCACUAGUAAAAGCAGCCAAAUGAUCACCUUCACCUUUGCUAAUGGAGGCGUGGCCACCAUGGGCACCAGUGGGACAGAGCCCAAAAUCAAGUACUAUGAGCUGUGUGCCCCACCUGGAAACAGUGAUCCUAAGCAGCUGAAGAAGGAACUGAAUGAACUGGUCAGUGCUAUUGAAGAACAUUUUUUCCAGCCACAGAAGUAUAAUCUGCAGCCAAAAGGAGAUCAAAAUACUCUAGCCUUGGGCAUACUUGCAUUUACCUACAGUUAAGCUGAGUUUAACUUGUUAAGCAAUAUUUUUGAGGGCCAAAUGAUUCAAAAUAUUACAAGUAUUUAUGUGUUUCACAAAGAACUACAUUCCUCAUUGUUUCAUGUUUGAUCUUUAAGGUGAAAAAAGAAAAGAUGGCCAAACUCAGCAAACCAACAUUCCUACUAAAAAGUUGAAGUUGGACAUUUCAUUUUUACAAAUGAAGAUUUUUAAACUAAAAAAAAGAGAUAGAUUGUAAUUGAUGUGCCUUAAUUUGCAAAAAUCAUAAAUGUUUGUCCUGUCUGUAAUUCUUUUUAUGUAUGCUUGAAAUAGCCAGAAAACCUAUGCAGUUGGUAAAUUCUGGACUGUCAUAUGUGGGACAGCCACUUUUUAGGUAUAUGUAAACUUAUGUUUCUAUCAAUUCCUUAUAAAGUAAAAUAAAUGAAC
Cebus imitator (Panamanian white-faced capuchin) is the source of this 1459-nucleotide RNA transcript. It is a transcript of the gene named phosphoglucomutase-2-like, with no coding region annotated. The record is from RefSeq and is a predicted model, not a curated record. The transcript is spliced from 2 exons. NCBI's taxonomy places the organism in Eukaryota, Metazoa, Chordata, Mammalia, Primates, Cebidae.